This 377-nucleotide unclassified non-coding RNA is filed under the name uncultured Chlamydiales bacterium. Its description in RNAcentral is "contains 16S-23S intergenic spacer region". Lineage: Bacteria; Pseudomonadati; Chlamydiota; Chlamydiia; Chlamydiales. The record is from RNAcentral.
UCCUAGUUAACCUAGGCAGUCUCAUUAGAGUUCCCAUCCGAAAUGUUGGCAACUAAUGAUAAGGGUUGCGCUCGUUGCGGGACUUAACCCAACACCUCACGGCACGAGCUGACGACAGCCAUGCAGCACCUAUACAAUAGCUCUUACGAGAGGCCCUCUUUCGAGGGUUGUCUACUGCACUUCUAGCCUGGGUAAGGUUCUGCGCGUUGCAUCGAAUUAAACCACAUGCUCCACUGCUUGUGCGGGCCCCCGUCAAUUCUUUUGAGUUUCACCCUUGCGAGCGUACUCCUCAGGCGGUAUACUUAUCGCGUUAGCUACGACACAGUCGGGGUUGAGUCCAACUACAUCAAGUAUACAUCGUUUACGGCAAGGACUAC